UAAAAAUAAAAACAUUUAAUUGAUAAAUAUAAAAUUUAUAAAAAAAAAAUUAAAUUAAUAACAGAAAUUAAAAACUACAUUAAAUUAAAAGUACAAAUUAAAAUAAAAUGAAAUAUAUAAAAAAAUAAAAAAAAAAAAUCUGAUACAAAUAAAAUUAAGAUAUAUAUAAAGCCAUAAAUGUUAAAUUGAAAAUCAUUGAUUACAUACAUUACUGUUUUCUACUGAAAACAACUUCAGCUGCUAAGUUCACUGGGUUAUGCUCAUCACGCCCGCGUAUAAGCCACCGAAAAUGCACACAAAUCGUCAGCUAACGAGUGUCAAGGUCACCAAUCAGCGCGAACCUGGAUAUGCAACUACUUGCCACACAUACAUACGCACAUUUAUUCAGAGUCAGCAACCUGCUGUCAUCCAAUCAUCAGCUACUCCAGCAGUUAUUCACAGCCAAUCAUUAGUGCGCUUAGAAACCUUCGAAAUGUCUGCUUUUUGCUACUUUUAUUGUGGCACGAUUUUCAUAUGGCUUUCCUUCCCCUCUAUGUUUGUACAUGUAUGUGUGUGUAUGUAUGCGCAAGUACUUCAUCAAUUUAAUGCAUUUGUAAUAAGCGAAUAAUGGCAUUGUAAUCGCUGUUAUUUACUAGUAAUCAGUAGAAAAGUUGUUUUCCAUUUCUAUUGGGGGGUUGAAAUUAUGUUCAAUUUAAAGGUGGAAGUGCUUAACGAGAUUCUGUAUUUAGUAGGAUUAUUAAAUGUGGAUUUAAUAUGCAUGUAUGUACAUACAUUAGGGUGUUAUUUUAUUUUUUAACUAUUAAUUUUCUUCAGUCCCGUCACGAAAUUUCCUUGGAAAUACCCCAAAAAAAAUCCCUGAAAAUUUUAGCCCUUAAUAUUAACAUUAAGAACUGGACCAAGACCUAUACAAAUUUUCCAUAGAAAAUACACUACAAUCGUGAGUUUUUAUCUCUAAAUUCCUACAGAUCAGAGGUAUUUUAGGGCAUCGCUUUGACUUUAGGCGCAUAUUUCUCAGAAUUGUUCACAAAGUCGUAACUCACACCGGCGAGGUAGUACGGGGCUCUAAACCCGAUUUUUCCAAGAAUUUCGCAAUUUUUUGUAUAUAUCUCGUAAAUGACAGGAGCUAUAGAAAAAAUGUACACGACAAAUUUGUAGAAAAUAUUAUUUGCUAUAAAAAAGGUCCGAGCUAUCAUUUAUACUUCUCGAGAUAUUCAGCUUUUUAAGUAAGGCUGUAUGCAAUUUUCAUAGAUUUUUUAAUACAUACCAUUAAAAAAAUAAAAAAAAAAAAAAUUAAAAAAAAAAAAAAAAAAAUUAAAAAAAAAUUAAAAAAAAAAUUAAAAAAAAAUUAAAAAAAAAAUUAAAAAAAAAAUAAAAAAAAAAAAAAAAAAAAAAUUAAAAAAAAAAUUAAAAAAUAAAAAAAAUUAAAUAAAAAAAUAAAAUAUUAAAAAAUGUAAAAUUAAAAACAAAAAAAAUUAAAUAAAAAUUAAAAAAAUAAAACAAAAAAUUUAAAACAAGAAAUAAAAAUAAUAAUACAAAUUAAAAAAAAAAAAAAAAAAAAUUAAAACAAUAAAUAAAAAAAUUAAAAAAAAAAAUAAUAAAAAUAAUAAUAUAAAAAAAUAUAUAAACACAUAAAAAGUAGCAAAAAAUUAAAAAAAACUCUAAAAAAUUAACAGUUUAAAAAAAUAUUAAAAAAUAAAAAUUAAAAAAAACAGUCAAAAAUAAUGAAAAGCAAAAAAAUGUUUAAAAAAAAAUAAUAAAAAAAAAUUAGUAAUUUUAACAGGACAAAAAAAAUAUUAUAAAUUAGGCAAUACUAAAAAAAUUCCGUGAGGAAACAGUUUAAAAAUUAAAAAGGAAAUUAUGAUUCUUUUAAUAUAAAUAUAAAAUUAAAAACAAAAAAAAUAGAAAUAAUGAAAAAAUAUAAUAAAAGUUAAUAAAAAUUUAAAUAAUUCGAAACAAAUAAAAAUACCAAUAGCAAUAAUCAUAAAAAAGUAAUGUAGAAACAAAUAAGUAAUACUAUAAAGUAGGAUAAAAAAAAAUUAAUUGUUAUAAACUACGAAAUACUAAAAAAUUUCCAAAUUAAAAAAUAGUAGUAAUUAAAUUAGAAAACAAGUAAGAACGGUCUAAGCCGGCUUGCCAGGAUCAAAGCCAGAGAAAUACGUUCAGGUACAUAAGGCUUGUUAGUUUUGUGAGGUCUUUAGCAAGUUUUCACCCCAUAUUUUUCAAUCUGAGCACAAAAAUGCACCGUUGUCAGAAAAAGACGUUUUCUUAAUUUUAUGAACAAAACUCACACAUUUGCCAUUAUAUGCGGUAUUAAUUCAACUGCAAGUUCGAGUUAUUAGGUAUGUGUGGCUAAAGAAAUUAUUUAUCCGUUUCAACUUAUUGUUGACAAACAGGCAUACUAUUAUUAGGAAAGAGUUCUCUGCAAAUGUCUAUAAUAUAUCUCACAGAUUGUCCAAAAUUUUCGUUAAAAAGUUCGCAAUUGGAACUUUGAUACACUUUUCGAUAUCUAUAGAUUGAAUAAUUUUGGUCCGAUUUCGGGCAAAGAUUUUUUUUUUAUCCCGAUACGUUUAUUUGUGCUUCAUUUGCAUUCUGGAAAUUGAAUGAAAUGAAGAAUCAGAUAGAAUUGGAUUAUAUGGAACUAGACAAAUUAUUAUAGCUUGAAUGGUUUAGGUGAUAUGUACAUUAAACCACUUAGACGCGCCGUCCCAUUUUUCAAAAAUUUCAGUCCACUGAAGUCCAAAUUUUAAAGAAAUUAAAUAAAAAAUAUUUACUUAGGUUAUCAUUGAUUAUCCAAUACUUACAUACAUAUUAUAAUAACGUCUUAUUGCCUAAAAGUAUGCCAUAAUGCUUACUUGUUUGCUUAAGUUGAGAUAUAUAACCAAAUCAUCACUUCUCUAUGAAUAUGACGCAAAUGACAACUGCGAUGUACAUGACUAUGAAAUAGAAUGGUCUAAACGCUCAAAAGUAUGCUAAUUUUUUCUAGUUAUUAACAUAUGAAUGACCGCCUAGAACUCAUUAAGCGCACAUUUUGCGUAUUUUCGUAUAACAUUUACUUAUUCUUAUACCUAAUCGAUUUCUUUUGAAAGGAUAACAGGAAGUGUACACAUACAUAUAUAUGUAUAUGUAUAUGUAUAUAAUACAUAAUUUAAAGACACGCAUUUCAGCUAUUCCCACUUUUAUUUCACUUCCGUUUCUAAUUUAAAAGAAAUACGAAAAAGUCAGUCGGAAUUCCAGCUCCGUAAUCUUUGCACAGAAACAGCCGUUGUCUCAUGCAAAUGAAGACAAUGAAAACGUUAGCAUAGGCGGAGACGUUUUUCGCUCGACUAUCCUCGGUCUUUGCUGGCUGCCAGACAGCGCCCAUUUCGCCUAGAUAUAUAUGUACAUAAGAAGCAUAUGUACAUCAGUUGCAUACUGAACUUAUGUAACCAAGCUACCUUGAAUUGUGUGGGCGUGCUGACCUUGAGCAUAUCUUUUUUUCAACUUUUUUUCUCUUGUCUUUCUUUCAACGUCUGCGGUACAGAGGUAAGCGUAGUUAGCGCAAGGCUAGCAUUUUCGUUCAUUCUACUUGUAGUACUUUCCCUUUCCUGUCAUUAAUUGCUAGCUAGUUAAAAGGUUUGGCUGCAAAUAAUAUAGCUGAUGCCUUGUUAAGUAAAAUUUCGUAAGUUUUCUUUCGUGUUUUUUUGCUCAAAAAAUUACAGGGUGUGCACUUGACUGCUUGCUUAUAAUAUUUGGGAUAUGCCUGUUAUUAGCUUUCAGCGCGCCUGAAUGUAUGCUUUGCAGUUAUUGUUGGCUUAUUUGAGAAGGCGGGUAAGUUCUGCUACGUUGCCUAAUAAAAACCGUAUGAGCUGAAACUUAGCAAAUAGCGCGUUUGUGCAUUUAAAUUGAUGGCAAAUACAUUUGGAGGUCAUUUAUAUUCAUAUAUUUUCUAACACCUAAAAUUAUGUUACCAAUUUUAGGAACUGUGAAAAUUUUCUAAAGCCUUAAAAUGUUUUCAGGAAUAUUGAAAUAAAAAUUUGUAUGACAAAUUUUUUAAUUAUUUCUUUUAUUAUAUUCGGCCAUAAAAUGUUAUAACGCAUAAAAUUAUGCAAUGAAAAUAAUAAAAAUAAUCAACAAAGUUUGCAUAAAUAUGUUUAAAAAUCUUCAAAAAGUUCUUUGAACGGCGUUUUAGUUAUGCAAUUUUUUUUCAAUGUGCCUGGCGCCUUUAAGUAGACUAGAUAAAAUUUGUAUUUUUAUUAAGCGACUGAAUUAACUUUUAGAAAUCUACUAAAAUAUUAAACUAAUUCCAUAUCAAUCUACAAAAAUAUUAUACUUAAUAAUAUGAAUAAAAAAAGUUGUAAAAUCGCCUAAAAGUAUGCAACAUUGUUUGCAUAGUGGUAAAAAAUUUAACGGAUUUACGUUUUUCGUUUACUUGAGGUAUGCCAUUGUUAUAUCUACCAACUGUUCAACUUCCGCUACAGCGCCUUAAAAUAUACUAUGCAUUUACUUAAUAAAAAUUUAAUAGCUGGCUUACAAUACCCGAAAAAGUUUGCAUAACAAUUUUAAUAUUUUGCAAACAGUUCUUUGAACGGAAUUAGAUACAUGAAAAAGUUAUUUUAUAAUUUUUUAGAGCCUUAAAGUAUACUAAAUCAAUUUUAAGUUCCCAUAAGUCACUAAAUUUACUUUAGAAAUCCAUCAAAUAUUAAAUGCCUUCAUUGCAAUCCACAAAAAAAAUUAAACUUAAUAUAUAAGAGUAAGCAAUACUGCGGUAACGCCUAAAAUUAUGCAAAUAAUUUUUAAAAUUGCAGAAAAAAUUAACAGAUACACUUUUUUCAUUUAUUUGUAAUUGUUAUUUAUUGUUCAUCUGCUGUUACAGCGCCUUAAAUUAUACUACUUAUUAUACUUCUUAAUACAAAUUUAAUAGGUGACUUAAAAUAUUGAACAAAGUUUUAAUAACAAUCAACUUCUGUUACCAAAAUAUUAUUUCUUUGCUUUCUAGCGCCUAAAAGUAUAUUACAUAAAUUUGUAAUAUCUAUAUGACAUAUAUACAUAUGUUUACUGCAAAAUGUUUUAGAAAUCCUCAAAAUAUUAAAUGUCAUCAUUGCAAUCCAUAAAAAUAUUUUAUUUGAUAGAUAAGAGCAUGAAAAACUGCAAUUACGCCUAAAAUUAUGCAACAUAUUUUUUAAAAUGACAGAAAAUUUAAAUAGAUGCACUUUUUUCGUUUAUUUGUAAUUGUUAUAUAUGUAUAUCGACUGUUCAACUUUUGCUACAGUGCCUUGAAGUAUACUAUGUAUUUACUUUAUGAAAAUACGCAAUACUGGAUUGUUAUACAGUUUUGCACACUUUUCUGCUGUAAAAUAAUUGAGCGCUCAAGAAAAUCGCUAUGAAAAUCUUAUAUAUGCAAAAAGUAGUGCGUAAGGUAAGGAAAAUAUAUUUUUUGCCUAGAAGUAUGCACAAAAAGAGCGCGCAGUCGCAGCAGCAUAAUAUUUUCCAAUUAUUUUCCGGCACAUAUGGCAUGCUAUAUUAUUUUUUGCCUUAUAAUCAUGAGCAUAGACUACUAGUUUGUGGGACAGCAGCACUCAGACACAUAAAGUAUAUAUAUAAUGUCAUGCACACAAUUUUCUUAUGAAAAAAUAAUAAUGUAGAGUGUUUUUGCUUUUUUAACAGCGAAAAAUUUUUUGCAUAUAUUUUUGCCUGAGUGUAUUCGCACUACUUUCUUUGCACACAAGCAACUGUGCACGCACGUUCAAGCCUACUGUGUCUAUUACCUGUGCGUGACACGCAUACGUGUACUGAAUAUACCGUUACUCGGCUGACUGGUUAACGGGACACAAGGAUGCGCCAGCAAAAGCUGAAAAACUAACAAAGCCAA
Bactrocera neohumeralis is the source of this 5848-nucleotide long non-coding RNA. RefSeq lists it as uncharacterized. NCBI's taxonomy places the organism in Eukaryota, Metazoa, Arthropoda, Insecta, Diptera, Tephritidae. The transcript is spliced from 2 exons. The record is from RefSeq and is a predicted model, not a curated record.